GACGAACCGAGCGACCGUUAUUCGGAAUCACUGGGCUUAAAGGGCGCGUAGGCGGGCCGUCAAGUCAGGGGUGAAAGCCCCCAGCUCAACUGUGGAAGUGCCUCUGAUACUGGCGGCCUCGAGGGAGGUAGGGGCGUGCGGAACUUCCGGUGGAGCGGUGAAAUGCGUAGAUAUCGGAAGGAACACCGGUGGCGAAAGCGGCGCGCUGGACCUCUUCUGACGCUGAGGCGCGAAAGCCAGGGGAGCGAACGGG
This 253-nucleotide ribosomal RNA is filed under the name uncultured bacterium. Its description in RNAcentral is "partial 16S ribosomal RNA". It matches the Rfam family "Bacterial small subunit ribosomal RNA", at positions 524 to 776 of the family's 1533-position model. The record is from RNAcentral.